CUUGCUUCUCUUGAGAGCGGCGGACGGGUGAGUAAUGCCUAGGAAUCUGCCUGGUAGUGGGGGAUAACGUUCGGAAACGGACGCUAAUACCGCAUACGUCCUACGGGAGAAAGCAGGGGACCUUCGGGCCUUGCGCUAUCAGAUGAGCCUAGGUCGGAUUAGCUAGUUGGUGGGGUAAUGGCUCACCAAGGCUACGAUCCGUAACUGGUCUGAGAGGAUGAUCAGUCACACUGGAACUGAGACACGGUCCAGACUCCUACGGGAGGCAGCAGUGGGGAAUAUUGGACAAUGGGCGAAAGCCUGAUCCAGCCAUGCCGCGUGUGUGAAGAAGGUCUUCGGAUUGUAAAGCACUUUAAGUUGGGAGGAAGGGUUGUAGAUUAAUACUCUGCAAUUUUGACGUUACCGACAGAAUAAGCACCGGCUAACUCUGUGCCAGCAGCCGCGGUAAUACAGAGGGUGCAAGCGUUAAUCGGAAUUACUGGGCGUAAAGCGCGCGUAGGUGGUUUGUUAAGUUGGAUGUGAAAUCCCCGGGCUCAACCUGGGAACUGCAUUCAAAACUGACUGACUAGAGUAUGGUAGAGGGUGGUGGAAUUUCCUGUGUAGCGGUGAAAUGCGUAGAUAUAGGAAGGAACACCAGUGGCGAAAGCGACCACCUGGACUAAUACUGACACUGAGGUGCGAAAGCGUGGGGAGCAAACAGAUUAGAUACCCUGG
Molecule: ribosomal RNA, 714 nt
Filed under: uncultured bacterium
Lineage: Bacteria
Description: bacterial SSU rRNA
Rfam family: Bacterial small subunit ribosomal RNA
Source: RNAcentral